UUCCCCUCAUAGAAACUCUUACCUUUAACAGAGAACUGACUAUGUACUGCUCUUUAUGCUUUCUCAAAUCUGCAACUGAUGGCACCAUAGUUCUUCAUCAGGAAAAUUGUGCGUCUUCAAGUAGAACCAAUAGUAGCAACGACCUUCUUUGACGAGUACCAGGUCAGAUCUACUUCUCUGACCCGUGGCUGAUCGACUCUUCAGCUUCCACUCGAGUUUUCCAGGGUGAGCAUGGCGUCCGCUGACCUUGAAGACUCUCUUAUUACUUAUGUCUUGCUUUCCAUUCUGAGACAUGAUUUGAGACUACUUAUGUAUUAUUAUUCAGACUUAUAGUAUUUGGAUUUAGAUGCUCUUGUAUGACCGUACCGUAUCAUUUUGGAGUGGAUUUCAUUUACUUCCGCACUUGUUGAUAUUAUAUUAUAUUAUAUUAUAUUAUAUUA
Molecule: long non-coding RNA, 440 nt
Organism: Lycium ferocissimum
Lineage: Eukaryota; Viridiplantae; Streptophyta; Magnoliopsida; Solanales; Solanaceae
Exons: 2
Source: RefSeq, a predicted model, not a curated record